Molecule: non-coding RNA, 326 nt
Organism: Onychostruthus taczanowskii (white-rumped snowfinch)
Lineage: Eukaryota; Metazoa; Chordata; Aves; Passeriformes; Passeridae
Source: the annotation of a RefSeq genome assembly
GUUUGGGAAUGUGUAAGCCGCGGUGACCCUGCUGGAGUCCGGGGGGGACCUCCAGCCCCCCGGGGGGUCCCUGCGCCUCCUCUGCCGAGGGUCCGGCUUCAGUUUUGGCAGUUUUGGGAUGGGCUGGAUGCGCCAGAGACCCGGGCAGGGGCUGGACUUCAUGGCAGAGAUCAGCUACGAUGGUUCCAGAACCUACUACGCGCCGUUGUUCAAGGGCUGGGUGACGAUCUCCAGGGACAACGGGCAGAGCUCGGUGACGCUGACCAUGAACAGCCUCAAGGACGAGGAUUCUGGAUCCGAUUUCUGUGCCAAAUCUGCUGGUACUG